This 524-nucleotide unclassified non-coding RNA is filed under the name Hevea brasiliensis (rubber tree). Lineage: Eukaryota; Viridiplantae; Streptophyta; Magnoliopsida; Malpighiales; Euphorbiaceae. The record is from RNAcentral.
UUGAUCUUGAUAGAGAGGAUGGUAAAUAUUUAUCUCCUGAGGCAGACAGAAGCGUACGCAACCUUUACAUGCUUCACAGGUAAAAAUUUGUGUUGUAAAAGAAUAUGAGAACAAAUUAAAAGAUAUUUUACUUGAACUAAUCUAUGACUGAGAAUUCAUAGGAAACUGAAUAGCACAAGUGAGUGUGCUUUGAGGACACCCUAUGCACCUAUGCGAGUAAGCUGCUCCAACUAUUUAAAAGAAAGAAAAGUGUCAUGAUAGCAAAAAGUAACUAAUAAUUGUCUGAUGAGGAGACGUAAAAGCACAAUGACAGCUUGAAAGGGCCAGUCACGAGGAUGACAGAUGGAAAACCUUGAAUAGUUACAUAGGAAGCUUGACAUAUUUAAACAAAAAAUUAAUUAUCUUACAGUUGAUCCGAAAUCAGGCUCAGAUGUGUGGGCUGCCUUGAUUUUGUCAUCUAGUGCAAAAUAUUCUAAAUUUUUGAGGCUAUGUGUGGAAUGACAUAAUAAUCAUUACAUAUAAAA